CCUACGGGGGGCAGCAGUGAGGAAUCUUGGUCAAUGGACGCAAGUCUGAACCAGCCAUGCCGCGUGCAGGAAGACGGCUCUAUGAGUUGUAAACUGCUUUUGUACGAGGGUAAACGCAGAUACGCGUAUCUGUCUGAAAGUACCGUACGAAUAAGGAUCGGCUAACUCCGUGCCAGCAGCCGCGGUAAUACGGAGGAUUCAAGCGUUAUCCGGAUUUAUUGGGUUUAAAGGGUGCGUAGGCGGUCGGAUAAGUUAGAGGUGAAAUCCCGAGGCUCAACUUCGGAAUUGCCUCUGAUACUGUUCGGCGAGAGAGUAGUUGCGGUAGGCGGAAUGUAUGGUGUAGCGGUGAAAUGCUUAGAGAUCAUACAGAACACCGAUUGCGAAGGCAGCUUACCAAGCUACUUCUGACGUUGAGGCACGAAAGCGUGGGGAGCAAACAGGAUUAGAUACCCCGGUAGUC
RNAcentral lists this ribosomal RNA (460 nucleotides) under uncultured bacterium. RNAcentral's name for it is "partial 16S ribosomal RNA". It matches the Rfam family "Bacterial small subunit ribosomal RNA", at positions 338 to 795 of the family's 1533-position model. The record is from RNAcentral.